MicroRNA precursor from Bison bison bison, 61 nucleotides. Lineage: Eukaryota; Metazoa; Chordata; Mammalia; Artiodactyla; Bovidae. The record is from Ensembl.
CGUGGAGGAGAAUGCCCGGGGCGUGCUGGGCGGUGCGGGCUGGGCUGGCAGCUCCUCCCUC